Trichobilharzia regenti is the source of this 46-nucleotide non-coding RNA. The record is from Rfam. NCBI's taxonomy places the organism in Eukaryota, Metazoa, Platyhelminthes, Trematoda, Strigeidida, Schistosomatidae.
GUAAUGAUGAAGAGUCCCAAAAUAGGACGAAACAACUGUCCAGUAC